Non-coding RNA from Nelumbo nucifera (sacred lotus), 2311 nucleotides. Lineage: Eukaryota; Viridiplantae; Streptophyta; Magnoliopsida; Proteales; Nelumbonaceae. The record is from RefSeq and is a predicted model, not a curated record.
CUUAAGGCAGAGAAAGGKGAUGAGAGGAAUGUUUAUCAUCUUCAACCUUCGAACCCAAAGCAGAGGGGCAGCGACUAGAGAUUCGUCUUCCUCCGAUUCCUUCUUCCCUCUUAUUCUCCGAUCCUUCUCCUUUGCUUUCCACCUCCCUCACUAUCUUCUCUCUCGCCGGUGAGCUGCUGUUCACCUUCUCCUCAGUCGAAAAUAGGGGACUUGCAGCGGCGAUUUUCUCCCCUCCAUUUCCACUCGAAUCCACUAAAAACCCUACCGUUUGGUCACCAGUUAGCCCCUUCGUCCCACGUCGCUUUUCUAUCAUUUGGUCACCAGUUAGCCCCCUCCCUUUAGUUUCAUCCUCACCGCUGGCGGAGCAGAGCCUGCGGUAGCAUCAACGGUAAGCUUAAACGUGAAUCACCGGAGGCAUCGUCUUUACAUCGUUCUCCCUAUCGCAAUCAGCGUUUUCUGUAACCGACUGAAAGCAAAUCCAUCGAAACGAGCUGAGAUUCCCCCGCAGCAGCGAUUGAUUCCAGGCCGACAUAUAAAGCAGAGAGAGUCAACUCGAUGCAGAACGGGUUCAAAUCUGUUGCUGCUCUGCUUCUCUGUGAAGUAGAUGAACACCGUCACCAAGUUGAACUGUUCAUCAGACUUGAACACUGUCACCAGAUUGAACUGUUCAUCUUCUUCAUAGAGAAGCAGAGCGACGACAGAUCUGUUCACCCUCACCAAGUUGGAGCGGAAGUUGGACCAUCGAAUCGACUCUCUUGAGCUUGGAGCGUUUGGAGUCGUUGGUGCUGAACACUGUUCCCGCAUUGUUCACCGCCACUAUUCGUAGACCUUGGCUUUCCACUCUCCAACGGUCUUCGUUCUCUCUUGCCUUCUCCAGUUUGUUCUCCCUACCAGCUAGCCUUGGUAAUGUCCAAGGCGCUAAACACUCAUCUACGGACAGAGCCCAUACCCAAUAGGAGGAAAGAAGUUGUCUUUGUUUCGGUGGUCGCCAAUCCUUGGGAGGAAUUGCAGGUGCAAAGGAACUCGAAGGUGGAGGGUAAGAGCGUUUGGACUCCUGCUUCAUGCCUGGUGUUUGGAAACGCUCAGGGAGUUGGGAAAUGCCACUACGGGUUUCGUCGGAGUAGCAGAGGAGAACCUCUACUGGAGGGACCUCGAGGCCGUGAAGCUACUGAUCUGGGCGGGAGCACCGCAUGAGAUACUUAAGGCUCUAACAAUGAAAGUUCUCGGGGAAACCUUCGUUGUUAUCUUCAUGGUAGAAGGUCUGGAGUCGCUGGUCUUGAGACAUUCUUUAGGGCUCCGUUGGAUUGAAGUGGAAGAAGAGUUUAAAGGUUAAGGGCAGCUAAAGGKGGGCGGCGACGGUUCUGGUAUUGGGGCUCAAGAGGGGAGAGAAAGACCUCAGGUGGCUGAAAGAGUAAAGGGAAGAUCCCAUUGGCGUUGGAGGAUGAGACGCCACCGAUCUGGUUCGGGUGUUUCCAGGUGCUCUUCCCUAGCCGAGAAUGAAGAUGGGUCAUUGCUGUUGUUGGAAUUGAGGGAGGUGUCAGGGGAUCGAUGAUAUCGACUCAAAUGCUAAUGCGUUCAAACGGGGAAUUGAAGUUUGGGCCGUCGCUAUCGUCUGCUCAUCCCAACCAUACACGAAGGUGGAAACAAGGGAUCGAUGAUGUGCUAGGGAAGCUGGAGUAUUGAAAUCGCCUGGUAUAAGUAACAAUAACAGAGGAACAAUGAAAAUAGAGGGGUUAAUGAGGUAAAAUGGACGAGAGAAAGCAGAUCGCCGUUGCUGUGAGUUGCGGCAGCGGUGACAAAAACACAGAGAGCGAACGGGGGAAAUGAAGAAUAUGAUAUGAUCCAUCUAUAUUUGUCUCUAGCGUCGCCUGUACAAUUUAUGGUAUUCAAUGGUGGGGUGAUUCAGACAACCUGCUGCUCAAUGGUGGAUUUGAAGUGGGACCAGCUUUCCCCAAUGAUUCCACUGAGGGGAUUCUACUUGAUGCAGAACCAAGUCACACUCUAUCAGCAUUACAACAAUGGUUUGUGAUAGGGACAGUGAAAUACAUAGACUCCAAAAACUACCAAGUUCCACAAGGCAAAGCUGUAGUUGAGCUUAGUUUUGGAAGCUUCAGCUAGGAUACAAACAACAACAGAGCUCAAUAAGGGUACGACCUAUAACUUGGAAUUUGUACUUGGAGAUGCUUGUGUGGGAGAUUUCAUUGUGAGGGCACAAGCAGGAUCUACGUCAAUGAACUUCACGAUGCAGACCAAUGGAACCGGCUUGGCCCAAAGCUUCCUCAUGACUUUCAAGGCAGAUUCAGCUCUAACA